Molecule: long non-coding RNA, 763 nt
Organism: Oncorhynchus tshawytscha (Chinook salmon)
Lineage: Eukaryota; Metazoa; Chordata; Actinopteri; Salmoniformes; Salmonidae
Source: Ensembl
CAGUAUAAUGUAAUGUGGAGGCAGUAUAAUGUAAUGUGGAGGCAGUAUAAUGUAAUGUGGAGGCAGUAUAAUGUAAUGUGGAGGCAGUAUAAUGUAAUGUGGAGGCAGUAUAAUGUAAUGCUGGAGGCAGUAUAAUGUAAUGUGGAGGCAGUAUAAUGUAGGCAGUAUAAUGUGGAGGCAGUAUAAUGUAAUGUGGAGGCAGUAUAAUGUAACAUGGAGGCAGUAUAAUGUAAUGUGGAGGCAGUAUAAUGUAAUGUGGAGGCAGUAUAAUGUAAUGUGGAGGCAGUUUAAUGUAACGUAAGCUGGAGGCAGUAUAAUGUAAUGUGGAGGCAGUAUAAUGUAAUGUGGAGGCAGUAUAAUGUAAUGUGGGGGCAGUAUAAUGUAAUGUGGAGGCAGUAUAAUGUAAUGUGGAGGCAGUAUAAUGUAAUGUGGAGGCAGUAUAAUGUAAUGUGGAGGCAGUAUAAUGUAAUAUGGAGGCAGUGUAAUGUGGAGGCAGUAUAAUGUAAUGUGGAGGCAGUAUAAUGUAAUGUGGAGGCAGUAUAAUGUAACGUAAGCUGGAGGCAGUAUAAUGUAAUGUGGAGGCAGUAUAAUGUAAUCUGGAGGCAGUAUAAUGUAAUGUGGAGGCUGUAUAAUGUAAUGUGGAGGCAGUAUAAUAUAAUGUGGAGGCAGUAUAAUGUAAUGUAGAGGCAUUAUAAUGUAAUGUGGAGUCAGUAUAAUGUAAUGUGGAGGCAGUAUAAUGUAAUGUGGAGGCAGUAUAAUGUAA